UAAGACGAACCGUGCGAACGUUGUUCGGAAUCACUGGGCUUAAAGGGCGCGUAGGCGGGCUUGCAAGUCUGCGGUGAAAGCCCCCAGCUUAACUGGGGAAGUGCCGUGGAUACUGCGGGCCUCGAGGAGGGUAGGGGCAUCUGGAACAUUGGGUGGAGCGGUGAAAUGCGUUGAUAUCCAAUGGAACUCCGGUGGCGAAGGCGAGGUGCUGGACCCUUUCUGACGCUGAGGCGCGAAAGCCAGGGGAGCGAACGGGAUUAGAUACCCCGGUAGUCCUGGCCCUAAACGUUGAGGACUAGGUUGUGGACUUAACAUGGGUUCACAGCCGGAGCAAAAGUGCUAAGUCCUCCGCCUGGGGAGUAUGGUCGCAAGGCUG
Molecule: ribosomal RNA, 376 nt
Filed under: uncultured bacterium
Lineage: Bacteria
Description: bacterial SSU rRNA
Rfam family: Bacterial small subunit ribosomal RNA
Source: RNAcentral